AAAGAGUAUUUCUUCUUUUUCUUUAUUUCUUUAAGUCACUGUGAGAAACUAUUGAAAAAAUUGUAGCAUAAGUAUUGAAGCUAACACAUUCGAAGUGCCUUGACUGGGCAAUCAUAUUCCCUACCACUAAAGUAAGUGAGUAACGGUAACAUCCACAAUGGCCAAAAUGAUAUUGUGUUCAAACAAGCCAACGCACUUACCAAAUGAUUAUGAAACUUUUACGCAAAGUGACAGUUAUUUCAGUAAAGUUAAAUUAUUAUUUGAUCCAAAUAAGGGAGAAUUACAUAGAGCUGCUUUAGCCACCUCAUUCAAUAGCCAAUUUUACUAAUUUGUUCGAGCAACCCCGAGAGGUGUUUGAUAAGUCAGUCUUGUCACGCAAGCUGCAUUCCUUAGAUUGUCGAAGCUUUUGUUCGACUGCAACUUUUUGUCCACCUAAUUUUGAAAUGCUUCAGACUGAUAAAGCUGCGACAGUUUUUUCGUCACGUUCUAACUUUUGUCAUGCAGCUGCAUAUAGUGCACAUGAAGCAUCACUACACGGAUCUGAUGACCGCACUGGCAGAUCCAGAAGGAGUCGCAGUCCUGGGCUUUUUCUAUGAGGUGUCCAACAGUGCAAACCGAAAGUAUGAUUCCAUUGUCAGUGCUCUGCGAGCCAUCAAAAA
This is a long non-coding RNA of Hippocampus comes (tiger tail seahorse), 659 nucleotides long. RefSeq lists it as uncharacterized. The record is from RefSeq and is a predicted model, not a curated record. The transcript is spliced from 2 exons. Lineage: Eukaryota; Metazoa; Chordata; Actinopteri; Syngnathiformes; Syngnathidae.